Molecule: long non-coding RNA, 744 nt
Organism: Raphanus sativus (radish)
Lineage: Eukaryota; Viridiplantae; Streptophyta; Magnoliopsida; Brassicales; Brassicaceae
Exons: 4
Source: RefSeq, a predicted model, not a curated record
GCGAUCGUUUUAAAUCACUCCAUUUUCUACAUCAGCAACAAUAUUCAGACCAAAAAAGAUACUCCCAAAACCUCAGAUGAUCACCAAUCAGGCUUUCCUAAUAAACUGACUUCUAAUUUUCUUCUCCUCAUACUAAACGUUUUUUCAGACGAUGGUAUUAGAAUCUCUAAUACCUUUUUCUAUUCUCAUAAAAUUCUAUUGAUUCAAUCCACAAUCUCACUAACGAUAGAUCAGUUCCAUUGUUUGAUUCAAUUUCGCCACCUCCACUUCAGUACAAAUACAAAUUUUCAAGUUCAAAAUUCAAUUCAACUCGGGAGUAAUCCUGGCAUCAUUGAGAAAAAUGAUUCCUACGAUGGUACAAAAGGUCUUAAACGCGAACCAAAUCAGAAUAACCGAGAGACAUAGAAACAACCUCAGGUAUGGCCUUGAACUCUGAAAACGACAGUGCCGGCGAACGCAACGGCUGCCCUAACACGAAAAAAUUGAUCAUCGGAGGUUUGGAUACACAAACAUGAUGCAAAAGAGAAGGUAUAAGGUCUCCAAAUUCCAGAAAUUUAAAUAUGCAUACCCACUUUACUUCUUUGUAUGUUUUCAGUGAAAAACUAACAUGUAUAAAUUCCUUACCUUAUGAGCACAUUUAUCUUAGUUUCUGUGGUUCCACUUACAUUAUGGUUUCAAACUUCAACUGAGUGUACCAUAACUCAAAAUCCGUUUUGAAAUCGGUGGUAUCUAUAGUUUGGGUAA